UAGGCAUUACUAGGACCUCCGGC
Molecule: microRNA, 23 nt
Filed under: Anolis carolinensis (green anole)
Lineage: Eukaryota; Metazoa; Chordata; Lepidosauria; Squamata; Anolidae
Description: aca-miR-5435c-5p
Source: miRBase by way of RNAcentral